GCCCCUGUAGCUCAGAGGAUAGAGCAGCACACUCCUAAGGUGAAGGUCACAGGUUCAACUCCUGUCGGGGGCA
RNAcentral lists this transfer RNA (73 nucleotides) under Candidatus Parcubacteria bacterium. Its description in RNAcentral is "tRNA-Arg". It matches the Rfam family "tRNA". Rfam says of the family: Transfer RNA (tRNA) molecules are approximately 80 nucleotides in length. Their secondary structure includes four short double-helical elements and three loops (D, anti-codon, and T loops). Lineage: Bacteria; Candidatus Parcubacteria. The record is from RNAcentral.